UCUUCGGCAAUGGGCGCAAGCCUGACCGAGCGACGCCGCGUGCGGGAUGAAGGCCUUCGGGUUGUAAACCGCUGUCGUAGAGGAGGAAAUGCAGGGGGGUUCUCCCUUCUGUUUGACCUAUUCUAGGAGGAAGUACGGGCUAAGUUCGUGCCAGCAGCCGCGGUAAGACGAACCGUACAAACGUUACUCGGAAUUACUGGGCUUAAAGGGUGCGUAGGCUGCGCGGAAAGUUGGGUGUGAAAGCCCUCGGCUCAACCGAGGAAUUGCACUCAAAACUACCGUGCUUGAGGGAGACAGAGGUAAGCGGAACUCAAGGUGGAGCGGUGAAACGCGUUGAUAUCUUGAGGAACACCGGUGGCGAAGGCGGCUUACUGGGUCUUUUCUGACGCUGAGGCACGAAAGCUAAGGUAGCAAACGGGAUUAGAUACCCCGGUAGUCUUAGCUGUAAACGAUGAGCACUUGAUUGGAGGGUCCUCCAUAGCCUUCCAGUCGUAGCGAAAGUGUUAAGUGCUCCGCCUGGGGA
Molecule: ribosomal RNA, 523 nt
Filed under: uncultured bacterium
Lineage: Bacteria
Description: bacterial SSU rRNA
Rfam family: Bacterial small subunit ribosomal RNA
Source: RNAcentral